CUGAAGGCGGGUGGGGGCAGCCGCGCUCGCCAAUGAAAGGCACCGGUGCGGGCGGCGCGCCCUGGGCGAGCGGCGGGCGCGGUGCGGGAUGGAGCUGAGCCCCGGUGUGCAGAAGAUGUCGGUGAGCCAGCCGCAGUCAGGAAGAGGUGUGCCGUGUUUACGCUGCAGAGGGACAUGCACGGGCUUCGAGCCACAUUCCUGGAGGAAAAUCUGUAAGUCGUGCAAAUGCAGCCAGGAGGAUCACAGCCUGAGCUCGGACGUGGAGGACGAUCGGAAAAUUGGGCGCCUGCUGUCAGACUCCAAGUAUGCCACGCUCACCGCCCGGGUGAAAGGAGGUGAUGGCGUUCGCAUUUACAAAAGGAACCGCAUGAUCAUCACCAACCCCAUCAUCUCUCGGAAAGACCCCACCUUUGACACCAUCACAUAUGAGUGGGCUCCACCGGGGCUCACCCAGAAGCUGGCCAUGCAGUACAUGGAGCUGAUCCCGAAGGAGAUGCAGCCGGUGGCGGGGACGGAUGGGGCAUACUAUCGCCGGCGGCAGCUGAUGAGACAGCUCCCGCUGUACGACCAGGACCCGUCCCAGUGCCGCGGCCUCACUGAGGGCGAGCUGAAGCUGAUGGAAGACUUUGUGAAGAAGUACAAAGCCGAGGCACUGGGCGUUGGGGAGGUGGCACUGCCGGGCCAGGGCGGCGGUGGGAAGGAGGAAGGGAAGCCGCAGGACAAGAGCAUCGCUGCCGGCAAACCCCCGGAGUCCACCAACGGGGCCCUGGAGAGCGCGCCCGCGGGAGGGCACUACUGCUGCGAGACCUGCAAGCAGCCGGUGCCGGCGGACUGCCCGGUGGUCUACGCCGACAGGGCGGGCUACUCCUGCCAGUGGCACCCGGCGUGCUUCGUCUGCUGCCGCUGCUCCGAGCCCCUCGUCGACCUCAUCUACUUCUGGAAGAGCGGGGCCGCCUGGUGUGGACGCCACUACUGCGAGAGCCUCCGGCCACGCUGUGCCGGCUGCGACGAGAUCAUCUUCUCGGAGGACUACCAGCAGGCAGAAGGGAUGACCUGGCACAAGAAGCACUUCGCCUGCCUGGAGUGUGAGACGCUGCUGACCGGCAAACCCUUUACUCUGGACAACGCCAGCCUCCUGUGCACAACCUGCAGCAAAAGCAAACGCCUCUGAGCGGGGAGCAGCCUGGGGGCAAAGCGGGCUCCCCGAGGUCCCACCAGAACUGGGGUCAUUUCUCGAGUAAAUGAGAAGGGGAAGGUUAAAAAAAAAAUUAGAGCCUGGAUAUUCACUUGCAAGCAACUAAGUGCCCCCUUGCAUCCUAUACAGCUUGCAGGAGAAUAUUUCCUUGGGCAGGAUGCAAAGAAAACUUGUACACCUGCGGGUGAGAAGUACAUGGCAUAUCUGACUAGGAGGGACUGAAAAGGAGGUUCUGUGUUAUGCUGGUUUUUUAUAAAGUCUCUCUAAGCUUCUUAUGACUAAGAUCUUGCAAUAGUCUUUUGGAAAUAACGCAUCUCAAAAGUAACUUUUGGCAUGCUAAACCUAUGGUCAUGGUCAAAAACAAGGGUGGUUCAUAUUUUUUGAAAUCCAUACUGGAAGUUUACACUAACAGAGUGCUGACAACUGUACUAAAGCAGUGGGUUUGAAGAGUUUGAUUAACCUGGGUGAUUACUUUCUGAAAGCAAAUGAUAGAAAAUUGCAGCAACAUGUAGCUGUAGCUUUCUCCUCCUAAGAGUACAAUAAUGUAAAAAUAACGAGUUGGCACACAGGGCAAUUGGUUUAACCCUGUUGAGAUGGGAAGGGUGCAGCUCUGCCACAGGGCAGCUGACUGGCCCAACCCAUGUGAGCUUUAGCCCCGAAACUGGAAUGCAAAAGCAUUCCUGGCAGGUCCCUCCGACCCGACUGGGCUCCCCAGCCUCUCGCCUGCCUCCGACUGCCUGUUACUGCAGGCGAGCGUGUUUCCACAGAGCAGCAUUGUGUUCCUACUGCGAUGCUGGAGGCCGUUAAGCAUUUAAAGUAUGGGCCUUUAUUUUGGCUGGGUUUGACCAGGAAUUUUAUGGAAAACAGCUUUCCAGCCUAAGCUGUCUGGGGGGGGGUGGGGGGAGACACGGUGCCUGAAAUGCUGCAAUGCCAGUUUUUCCCCUGUAACAUGUCAAUGACCCCCUCCAAGUACAAGGGAGCCGUACCUUCCCCUGGGAGCUGGCAGCACCCUCGCCCUGGGCUCUGCCCUGCUCCUUGUCCUGCAGCUCUCCUGUCCCUAGGGGAGGUCCCCGUCACCUCUUGGAUCUGAUGGGGUGACACCAUCCCAGGAUCCGGCACUGAGUCUCUGCGGAUAGUAUUUGUUCCCUACAUCAAGCGAUGCUUCUGGUAGUCACUGAAAAUAUCAGAUAGUCCAGGCUGGCAGAUGUCUCUGUGCUCAGUCUUUUUUCUUAUGUUAAAUGUCUACAUUAUUUGCCAGAGAACUGGAAUAUUUUUUUGCCAAGGUGAGUGUGCAAGGAGCUCACAAUUGCUAGGUUUUCUUUCUGCUACAGAAGAUGCUGGUUUCUCUUUAAAGCAUGCUCCGUGCUGUGGAUGUUUGCUUGCCUAUGAUAAAAUAACUUGCAAAUGAGAGUUGGGGGAAAUUGUACCUGCUGCAGGGUUAGAGCGUGCGAGCUGUGGGCCGGACUCUGCCCCUCCGCUGGGUUCAUCGGGGGAUGCCCCGCUCCGCUGCUGGGGAGGAGCAGGCCAAGUCCACCACUGUCUUUGAGUAGGUGAGACCGACGUGGUGUAAAGACAUAUCUGUACGGGGGGUGCAAGUGCCUCUUGCGCUUUGUCCAGCCCUGUGCUGUUGCAUGGCUGAUGUUCCUGGAAACGCUGGGGGAUUUAAAGAGAGUAAAUGAAAUGCUGCUGCUGGAGCAGAGCAGGAAAAUCUCGAGGUGGCAGCUGUAGCUGUGGGGGGGAUGGAUGGGUGUUGCAGGGUAUGGUGGUGCACAUGUUUCUGGGGUCAUUUGUCCAUCUCGAGUUAGUCAGUGGAUGCGUUGAGUGCCUGGGGGUGUUGCUUCUGUAAACUCGGAUGCUGCAAGUCAAGAGAGGAUGAGUAGACCUGAAGUUGUGCUAGGUAUAAUAAAGCUCCCUUGGAUCAGCCUCAGAUACAGGCACUUUGGUUAUAAGUAAAGUGGGAAUGAAAAAUAAAGCCCAGCGCUUAGCUUUACUGCCUCUUCUUCAUUUUGUUACAAGCGAAAUGUCUUUACAUCUUUGUGAAUUUUUUUUUUAAGACGCAUUGUUGUUCUAAACCCUGCAAUGUUAAGGUAGCCAAAAGUGCAUGCGCUCAGUGUAAGCAGUGACAGGAAUAGUGUGAAUCACCUAUGAAACACUAUUUCAGCACAGGCAUUAACAUCUAAAACAGCAUUCCCUGAUGGAAGGUCAGUGUCCAUCUGUGCACACAGCUAGUUACCUCUUAGAGUGAUUUGCCUAGGAGGUAGGUGCACAGCCAUUACACAGAUGCCUGGAAGAAAAUUAAAUGCCAAAAAAAAAAAAGUCAACAAAACAUCAAGUUUUUAAAAGUGAAAGACUAGUAACUAAACUACUGCUAUCACAGAAAACUCAAUAACAUGCUGCAGUCUUCUCCCUGGGUGUUUUUGGUUUGUUUUGCCUCAGCUGGCUGCGUGAUCCUUGAAGGGUUUGUGAUACAAUAAGCACGGGGAAGGGUGAGCUGGACUCCGACCACAGCGGGGUGUUCCUUCAACUGCGGGAACUGGGAUGCUGGCUGUUGGCCGAGCCUGCUCCAGAGCUGCCGAGGGAUCCCCCUUCCACCACAGCCGGGGUUAAAACACUAGUAGAGGCUCGCAGGGAGGCGGUGGAGAAGAGGUGGUGCUUGUUUUCUCUGCUGCAGAAGAAUGUGCGUGGUGGGAACUUGGGUAAAUGUCAGAGCCGAGGCACGGGGAGAGGACAGGGUUUUGGGGGGAGCGCUGGCACCCCAGGGCGGCAGUGGGGAGGGGGUGUAAUGCCGAGAGCGGAGCCUGCCGCCCUGUGCAGCGCUGCAUUGCUGCCCACUGCGGUGGUGGGCGUCCCUGCCCUCGUCCUGGCUGUCGCUGCCGGGGGCUGUGAGGGCAGGGCUGCGUCAUCCCCACCACCCUCCCUGCGGUGGGACGGUCUCGGAGCGAGAGAGAGGUCCAGUCCGCUUUACGUGCAAGGAUUGUCCCUGGUGAUAUUGCCUUUGCUGGGCUUAUCUUACCGGACUGUGACCGCAGCCUACGCGCAGUAGCAUCAACUUCUGACGCAGUCUAUCUCCGUUAACGCAAUCCUCUGUCGCUAAUGCCUUUACUUGGCUACUUGGAAAAAAGAUACCACUGUAGCAUGUUCUGGUUUGGGUCUUGAUUUUGUGAUCUUUAAAUUGUAAUUCUUCCCCUCUGAAGUCCCUCUUUCAGCAUACACGUGCUUGCUUCAGGCUUUUUGGACUGCUGGCAUCCACUUGAGCCUUUCAGGUAUUUCUGCAGCUUGUAAAAUACUGUCUGCCAAAAAAUCUACUGCAAUUAAACAGCUUAACAAAAUCCUGUGCCUCUCAAGUGUCAGGAGCAAAAGCGUGAAAUUAAUGCAUCUAACAGCUCAAAACAUAUGUGAGUCUUUAGUUUUGAUACUAAAAUUGAAAUUCAGUGUAAGCAUGAGAAGAUGAUCACCCCAAGUGAAGACGUUCACCCCAAGUGAAGACAUUGUGCUGUGUUUUGCUAUGGUUUAUCAUCUAGAACGAAGGAGGCUGCUGCAGCUGCCUUCUGCAGGUCACGAGCUCUGGUUUUCAAGAAAGUUAAAUUUACGGGGGUAUCCUGGUCUGUCUUAUAGAGAGCUGUCAGCGAGCAUUAUACGGAGGGUCUGUACAGAAAAUUGAUAAAAAUUGAGAUGUUUCAUAGGUUUACUGUGUGUGACAGGAAUAGACUAAAGGCAAAGACUGUGUUGUGUGACUAUUUGAAAAGCAUCUUGUGCCACUGCUGUGUCCUGUCCAUCAUUUCAAAUAAAAGCUCCUGUACAAAGA
This is an RNA transcript of Harpia harpyja (harpy eagle), 5000 nucleotides long. It is a transcript of the gene named LIM and cysteine rich domains 1, with no coding region annotated. The transcript is spliced from 7 exons. Lineage: Eukaryota; Metazoa; Chordata; Aves; Accipitriformes; Accipitridae. The record is from RefSeq and is a predicted model, not a curated record.